This 497-nucleotide ribosomal RNA is filed under the name uncultured bacterium. RNAcentral's name for it is "partial 16S ribosomal RNA". It matches the Rfam family "Bacterial small subunit ribosomal RNA", at positions 28 to 507 of the family's 1533-position model. The record is from RNAcentral.
GAUGAACGCUGGCGGCGUGCCUAAUACAUGCAAGUCGAGCGAACAGAUGAGGAGCUUGCUCCUCUGACGUUAGCGGCGGACGGGUGAGUAACACGUGGAUAACCUCCCUAUAAGACUGGGAUAACUUCGGGAAACCGGAGCUAAUACCGGAUAAUAUAUUGAACCGCAUGGUUCAAUAGUGAAAGACGGUUUUGCUGUCACUUAUAGAUGGAUCCGCGCCGCAUUAGCUAGUUGGUAAGGUAACGGCUUACCAAGGCAACGAUGCGUAGCCGACCUGAGAGGGUGAUCGGCCAAACUGGAAGUGAGACACGGACCAGACUCCUACGGGAGGCAGCAGUAGGGUGUCUUCGGCAAUGGGCGAAAGCUUGACGGAACAACGCCGCGUGAGUGGUGAAGGUCUUCGGAUCGUAAAACUCUGUUAUUAGGGAAGAACAAAUGUGUAAGUAACUAUGCACGUCUUGACGGUACCUAAUCAGAAAGCCACGGCUAACUACGUG